UUAACAAAAACAUGUCUUUUUGAGUUAUUUUUAAAGUCUGACCUGCCCACUGAAUUUUUAAAUGGCCGCAGUAUUUUAACUGUGCAAAGGUAGCAUAAUCAUUAGUCUUUUAAUUGAAGGCUGGUAUGAAUGGUUGGACGAAGUAUAAGCUGUUUCAUAUAAAUUUAUAUUAGAAUUUUAUAUUUUAGUUAAAAAGCUAAAAUAAUGUUAAAAGACGAGAAGACCCUAUAAAUCUUUAUAUUUAAUAUAAUUUAAUUUUUUUGGAUUUGUUUUAUUUUUAUUAAAUUAAAUAUUUUGUUGGGGUGAUGUUAAAAUUUAAUGAACUUUUAAUGAUUUGGAAUCAUUUAUUUAUGAAUUAUUGAUCCGUUAUUAGUGAUUAUAAGAUUAAGUUACUUUAGGGAUAACAGCGUAAUUUUUUUGGAGAGUUCAUAUCGAUAAAAAAGUUUGCGACCUCGAUGUUGGAUUAAGAUAUAUUUUCAGGUGUAGCUGCUUGAAUAUUAAGUCUGUUCGACUUUUAAAUUCUUACGUGAUCUGAGUUC
RNAcentral lists this ribosomal RNA (539 nucleotides) under Dacus badius. Its description in RNAcentral is "partial 16S ribosomal RNA". It matches the Rfam family "Bacterial large subunit ribosomal RNA", at positions 1804 to 2612 of the family's 2925-position model. Lineage: Eukaryota; Metazoa; Arthropoda; Insecta; Diptera; Tephritidae. The record is from RNAcentral.